GUGGAGUUGGCUGCACAUGUUUUUUGCUGGCAACACAUCACGUUACAUGCAGCAUCUGAAAACAAAGGCAAAACACCGCGGGGCUCCACUUUGGCUUCUCAAGGACCGAAAUAAAGUGUUUGAAGGUA
This is a long non-coding RNA of Ixodes scapularis (black-legged tick), 128 nucleotides long. RefSeq lists it as uncharacterized. NCBI's taxonomy places the organism in Eukaryota, Metazoa, Arthropoda, Arachnida, Ixodida, Ixodidae. The transcript has 2 exons. The record is from RefSeq and is a predicted model, not a curated record.